This 240-nucleotide unclassified non-coding RNA is filed under the name soil metagenome. Its description in RNAcentral is "partial contains 5.8S ribosomal RNA, internal transcribed spacer 2, and large subunit ribosomal RNA". The record is from RNAcentral.
AACCUUAUGGACCUGCGGGCGUAUACCUGCGGAGGGAUCAUUACCGAGUUUUCAACUCCCUAACCCUUCUGUGAACCUACCUAUCGUUGCUUCGGCGGACUCGCCCCAGCCCGGACGCGGACUGGACCAGCGGCCCGCCGGGGACCUCAAACUCUUGUAUUCCAGCAUCUUCUGAAUACGCCGCAAGGCAAAACAAAUGAAUCAAAACUUUUAGCAACGGAUCUCAGAUCGGAAGAGCAC